RNAcentral lists this ribosomal RNA (620 nucleotides) under uncultured bacterium. RNAcentral's name for it is "bacterial SSU rRNA". It matches the Rfam family "Bacterial small subunit ribosomal RNA", at positions 395 to 1015 of the family's 1533-position model. The record is from RNAcentral.
AGUCGCGUGAGGGACGAAUGGUCUAUGGCCUGUAAACCUCUUUUGCCAGGGAAGAAUAAAAGGUACGUGUACCUUCUUGCCAGUACCUGACGAAUAAGCAUCGGCUAACUCCGUGCCAGCAGCCGCGGUAAUACGGGGGAUGCGAGCGUUAUCCGGAUUUAUUGGGUUUAAAGGGCGCGUAGGCGGGACGUCAAGUCAGCGGUAAAAGACUGCAGCUAAACUGUAGCACGCCGUUGAAACUGGCGCCCUCGAGACGAGACGAGGGAGGCGGAACAAGUGAAGUAGCGGUGAAAUGCAUAGAUAUCACUUGGAACCCCGAUAGCGAAGGCAGCUUCCCAGGCUCGAUCUGACGCUGAUGCGCGAGAGCGUGGGUAGCGAACAGGAUUAGAUACCCUGGUAGUCCACGCCGUAAACGAUGCUCACUGGAUCUUGGCGAUACACAGCCAGGGUUCAAGCGAAAGUAUUAAGUGAGCCACCUGGGGAGUACGUCGGCAACGAUGAAACUCAAAGGAAUUGACGGGGGCCCGCACAAGCGGAGGAACAUGUGGUUUAAUUCGAUGAUACGCGAGGAACCUUACCCAGGUUUAAAUGUAGAUUACAUGAGGUGGAAACACUUCUUC